GUCCCUGUAUCACAAUGCAUAGCGCGUUGGACUUGUAAUCCAAAGGUAGUGGAUUUGAAUCCCACCUGGGAUA
Non-coding RNA from Trichonephila clavata, 73 nucleotides. The record is from the annotation of a GenBank genome assembly. Lineage: Eukaryota; Metazoa; Arthropoda; Arachnida; Araneae; Nephilidae.